RNAcentral lists this ribosomal RNA (301 nucleotides) under uncultured bacterium. Its description in RNAcentral is "partial 16S ribosomal RNA". It matches the Rfam family "Bacterial small subunit ribosomal RNA", at positions 509 to 809 of the family's 1533-position model. The record is from RNAcentral.
CAGUAGCCACGGUAAUACGUAGGGCGCAAGCGUUAUCCGGAAUUAUUGGGCGUAAAGAGCUCGUAGGCGGUUUGUCGCGUCUGCCGUGAAAGUCCGGGGCUCAACCCCGGAUCUGCGGUGGGUACGGGCAGACUAGAGUGAUGUAGGGGAGACUGGGAUUCCUGGUGUAGCGGUGAAAUGCGCAGAUAUCAGGAGGAACACCGAUGGCGAAGGCAGGUCUCUGGGCAUUAACUGACGCUGAGGAGCGAAAGCAUGGGGAGCGAACAGGAUUAGAUACCCCAGUAGUCCCUGUCUCUUAUAA